GACGAACGCUGGCGGCGUGCUUAACACAUGCAAGUCGAACGGAAAGGCCCUGCUUUUGUGGGGCGCUCGAGUGGCGAACGGGUGAGUAUCACGUGAGUAACCUGCCCUUGACUUUGGGAUAACUUCAGGAAACUGGGGCUAAUAACGGAUAGGAGCUCCUGCUGCAUGGUGGUGGUUGGAGAGUUUCGGCGGUUGGGGAUGGACUCGCGGCUUAUCAGCUUGUUGGUGGGGUAGUGGCGUACCAAGGCUUUGACGGGUAGCCGGCCUGAGAGGGUGACCGGCCACAUUGGGACUGAGAUACGGCCCAGACUCCUACGGGAGGCAGCAGUGGGGAAUAGUGCACAAUGGGCGGAAGCCUGAUGCAGCAACGCCGCGUGCGGGAUGACGGCCUUCGGGUUGUAAACCGCUUUCGCCUGUGACGAAGCGUGAGUGACGGUAAUGAGUAAAGAAGCACCGGCUAACUACGUG
This 468-nucleotide ribosomal RNA is filed under the name uncultured bacterium. RNAcentral describes it as "partial 16S ribosomal RNA". It matches the Rfam family "Bacterial small subunit ribosomal RNA", at positions 28 to 507 of the family's 1533-position model. The record is from RNAcentral.